Numida meleagris (helmeted guineafowl) is the source of this 1165-nucleotide long non-coding RNA. RefSeq lists it as uncharacterized. Lineage: Eukaryota; Metazoa; Chordata; Aves; Galliformes; Numididae. The record is from RefSeq and is a predicted model, not a curated record. The transcript has 2 exons.
UGUGUAGUUUCUCAUGGGAACACUAACAAUUUCAGGAUCACAAAAGCAAAGCCAGCAAAACUAUUCUGAGAGCAGAGCCCUGAGGAACCGUUACUGUUUGCUUCAACAAGGGGCAUGUGUCAUCCUUUCUCAUGUUCAGCAGCACAAAUCCAUGAAAUUAUAGCAUGUAUGGUCAUCCUUUGGCAGGGUAUGUAUGGCCCGGAGUGAGAAUGGCCAAAGAGUAUGGGUCAGAAUUAUGGCUCAGAUGCUGAGUGCUCUGCAGGAAAAUUUCCCUCCAGAUAUAGAAACAGAUGGAUUUUUUUGUUCUGAAAAGAUAUGCAAAAUAAGCAAGAAUAAAUAGAAGAGAAGCUGGAAGUUCUGGAUCUGAAUUUCCCCAGCAGCUGUGACCUAUUUGGACAGGAGCCCUGGUGCAGCCCCAUCUCUGUUUAAGAAGUGUUCUUUACCGGUGCUUCCUGCUGAUUGCACUACCUGCAGCUGGUACAUGUUAAAGAAACAGAAGCCCGUGUUUCCUCACCUUGCUCUUCCAGGAUCACAGAUGGGAUACACUGCUGAAGUACUGGUGGGGUCUCCAAGGUAGAACGAUCCUUCUGAGUGACUGGCAAAAGCUGAGACCAAAUUCACGACGUAUUUCCAAGAUGAACUUUCAAAGACACUUUUCUGGAUCUUGUCUAUGUCGGGACUUAAAAGUUACCCAACCCGGCUGACAUGAGUGGACAGAGCAGGACAUGGACUUACCCAGAAAUAGAUCUUUAGACAUUCUUCAGUAUAAUACUUUGGUCACUGAGCAUUCCUUACUAGUUAAAGAAGUACUUCCUUUCUAAGCCCCUUUAUGAGUUUCCAAAAAAAGAAAAAAAGAUCCUUUAGGCUGAUACUUCUGUAGCUUUUGGAAAGUUUGGUAAAAAUCCAUAUGGUUGGUUUUGAGCACGCUUAAAGAAUUGUUUCAGAUGUUUUACUUGUGCUUGGGUAACUGAAAACAGUUCAAACUUGGCAUGGAGUCUCCAGUGAGAAAUGUGGGCUUGGAUAAGUUGGAAAAAAAACUGGUUCAGAAAGAAAGGAGUUAUAAACAAGUGGAAAUAGUAUGCUUCAGUUACCCAGAUGUAUGCCAGGCAAGCAUAGACGUCUGGAUAUUCACAAGCUGAAAUAAAUGCAUCUGUAUUUAUUUAAA